This 442-nucleotide ribosomal RNA is filed under the name uncultured bacterium. RNAcentral's name for it is "bacterial SSU rRNA". It matches the Rfam family "Bacterial small subunit ribosomal RNA", at positions 29 to 521 of the family's 1533-position model. The record is from RNAcentral.
AACGAACGCUGGCGGCAUGCCUAACACAUGCAAGUCGAACGAAGUCUUCGGACUUAGUGGCGCACGGGUGCGUAACGCGUGGGAAUCUGCCCUUGGGUGCGGAAUAACUUCUCGAAAGGGAUGCUAAUACCGCAUAAUGUCGUAAGACCAAAGAUUUAUCGCCCAAGGAUGAGCCCGCGUAAGAUUAGCUAGUUGUGGGGUAAAAGCCUACCAAGGCGACGAUCUUUAGCUGGUCUGAGAGGAUGAUCAGCCACACUGGGACUGAGACACGGCCCAGACUCCUACGGGAGGCAGCAGUGGGGAAUAUUGGACAAUGGGCGAAAGCCUGAUCCAGCAAUGCGCGUGAGUGAUGAAGGCCCUAGGGUUGUAAGCUCUUUACCAGGGAUGAUAAUGACAGUACCUGGAGAAUAAGCUCGGCUAACUCCGUGCCAGCAGCCGCGGU